This 406-nucleotide ribosomal RNA is filed under the name uncultured bacterium. RNAcentral describes it as "partial 16S ribosomal RNA". It matches the Rfam family "Bacterial small subunit ribosomal RNA", at positions 29 to 526 of the family's 1533-position model. The record is from RNAcentral.
AUUGAACGCUGGCGGCAGGCCUAACACAUGCAAGUCGAACGAGUGGCGGACGGGUGAGUAAUGUCUGGGAAACUGCCUGAUGGAGGGGGCUAACUACUGGAAACGGUAGCUACUACCGCAUACCAUGCGAUGUGCUCAGAGGGGAUGAGCUGGUUGGUGGGGUAACGGCUCACCAAGGCGACGAGCCCUAGCUGGUCUGAGAGGGUGACCGGCCACACUGGAACUGAGACACGGUCCAGACUCCUACGGGAGGCAGCAGUGGGGAAUAUUGGGCAAUGGGCGAAAGCCUGAUGCAGCCAUGCCGCGUGAAUGAAGAAGGUCUUCGGGUUGUAAAGCUCUUUUGGCAGGGAGGCGUUACCCGCCGAAGAAGCACCGGCUAACUACGUGCCAGCAGCCGCGGUAAUUC